RNAcentral lists this ribosomal RNA (253 nucleotides) under uncultured bacterium. RNAcentral describes it as "partial 16S ribosomal RNA". It matches the Rfam family "Bacterial small subunit ribosomal RNA", at positions 524 to 776 of the family's 1533-position model. The record is from RNAcentral.
UACGGAGGUGGCGAGCGUUGUCCGAAGUUACUGGGCGUAAAGGGCGCGUAGGCGGCACCGCAAGUCGACUGUGAAAUCUCCGGGCUUAACCCGGAAAGGUCAGCCGAUACUGCGGGGCUAGAGUGCAGAAGGGGCAACUGGAAUUCUCGGUGUAGCGGUGAAAUGCGUAGAUAUCGGGAGGAACACCUAUGGCGAAAGCAGGUUUCUGGGCCAUCACUGACGCUGAGCUGCGAAAGCUAGGGGAGCAAACAGG